GUUGGACUUAUCCAACUCUUAGAGUUGGAUAAGUCCAACAUACCAUAAUAUUAGUUCUUGUGUCAAUUUGUGAAACACAAAAAAAAAAUUUUAAACACCUUGUUUAUAAUUGGACUAAUUGUUUUAGGCGUCAAUUUUAACUAUUGUAAGAUACUAUAUAUACUGUUCUAUGCCAGGUACUCUGUUUCUUGCCAUUUUUGAAAAAGCCCCUGAG
Molecule: non-coding RNA, 214 nt
Organism: Pelobates cultripes (western spadefoot toad)
Lineage: Eukaryota; Metazoa; Chordata; Amphibia; Anura; Pelobatidae
Source: the annotation of a GenBank genome assembly